This 29-nucleotide non-coding RNA is filed under the name Homo sapiens (human). Lineage: Eukaryota; Metazoa; Chordata; Mammalia; Primates; Hominidae. The record is from RNAcentral.
UGUCAGCACAGAAUUGUGGCACCAGUUGU